AUUGAACGCUGGCGGAAUGCUUUACACAUGCAAGUCGAACGGUAGAGGGGGCAACCCCUCGAGAGUGGCGAACGGGUGAGUAAUAUAUCGGAACGUGCCCAGUCGAGGGGGAUAACGUAGCGAAAGUUACGCUAAUACCGCAUACGAUCUCAGGAUGAAAGAGGGGGAUCGCAAGACCUCGCGCGAUUGGAGCGGCCGAUAUCAGAUUAGGUAGUUGGUGGGGUAAAGGCUCACCAAGCCAACGAUCUGUAGCUGGUCUGAGAGGACGACCAGCCACACUGGAACUGAGACACGGUCCAGACUCCUACGGGAGGCAGCAGUGGGGAAUUUUGGACAAUGGACGCAAGUCUGAUCCAGCCAUUCCGCGUGCAGGAUGAAGGCCCUCGGGUUGUAAACUGCUUUUGUACGGAACGAAAAGGUCUCUCUUAAUACGGGGGGCUCAUGACGGUACCGUAAGAGUAAGCACCGGCUAACUACGUGCCAGCCGCCGCCGUAA
RNAcentral lists this ribosomal RNA (496 nucleotides) under uncultured bacterium. RNAcentral describes it as "partial 16S ribosomal RNA". It matches the Rfam family "Bacterial small subunit ribosomal RNA", at positions 30 to 523 of the family's 1533-position model. The record is from RNAcentral.